This 468-nucleotide ribosomal RNA is filed under the name uncultured bacterium. RNAcentral's name for it is "partial 16S ribosomal RNA". It matches the Rfam family "Bacterial small subunit ribosomal RNA", at positions 28 to 507 of the family's 1533-position model. The record is from RNAcentral.
GACGAACGCUGGCGGCGUGCUUAACACAUGCAAGUCGAACGGAAAGGCCCUGCUUUUGUGGGGUGCUCGAGUGGCGAACGGGUGAGUAACACGUGAGUAACCUGCCCUUGACUUUGGGAUAACUUCAGGAAACUGGGGCUAAUACCGGAUAGGAGCUCCUGCUGCAUGGUGGGGGUUGGAAAGUUUCGGCGGUUGGGGAUGGACUCGCGGCUUAUCAGCUUGUUGGUGGGGUAGUGGCUUACCAAGGCUUUGACGGGUAGCCGGCCUGAGAGGGUGACCGGCCACAUUGGGACUGAGAUACGGCCCAGACUCCUACGGGAGGCAGCAGUGGGGAAUAUUGCACAAUGGGCGGAAGCCUGAUGCGGCAACGCCGCGUGCGGGAUGACGGCCUUCGGGUUGUAAACCGCUUUCGCCUGUGACGAAGCGAGAGUGACGGUAAUGGGUAAAGAAGCACCGGCUAACUACGUG